GUACAUACCUGGCAGGGGAGACACCACGAUCACGAAGGUGGUUUUCCCAGGCAAGGCUCAUCCAUUGCACUCCGGAUGUGCUGACCCCUGUGAUUUCCCCAAAUGUGGGAAACUCGACUCCAUCAUUUUUUUUCUUCAUUAAUAUUGUAAAUUUUUAUUU
RNAcentral lists this small nuclear RNA (160 nucleotides) under Echinops telfairi (small Madagascar hedgehog). RNAcentral's name for it is "U1 spliceosomal RNA (ENSETEG00000024547.1)". It matches the Rfam family "U1 spliceosomal RNA". From Rfam's summary of the family: U1 is a small nuclear RNA (snRNA) component of the spliceosome (involved in pre-mRNA splicing). Its 5' end forms complementary base pairs with the 5' splice junction, thus defining the 5' donor site of an intron. Lineage: Eukaryota; Metazoa; Chordata; Mammalia; Afrosoricida; Tenrecidae. The record is from RNAcentral.